AUCGCUGCUUGCAGCUUUAAUUAUUAUUAUUAUUUGUACGUGUCACGGGUUAUAAAAGGUGACGAGGGGGAGGUGACGCAAGGGUUUUUUUGUUUGGAGCGCGCUGACCGACGGCGGACUCAGAACGGCAGCAAUCCGGCGACUUUCUAUUUUGAAUUCAUACCAACGCGCGGGAUCACUAAUAGAAGACUGCGCAGGAACACUGUGAACUGGCCCAGCACCUACCGGACUAGGGUGAAGUAGCGCGGGGAUUGAACGUGGCGCUUCGUCUCUGCCUGGUCGAUCAGCUGUUUGCCGGCUUUUGGGGGGGGGGGGGGUGCGCGCGUGCAGUCAUUUCCUUUUGUUUUGGGGGACUGCAAAUGUGGAGUACGUGUGAUCGAAUACAAUAUUGUUGACAACACCAAAAAGCUACAUAAAAAAGCUACCCUUAUACUGUAGCUGCGAGCGUGGGGUGGCACUAUAUGACAUUGCGUAAUCACUGCCAGAAAGCAGGUCAAGUACAUCCGCCGGAUGUACCGGGCGGCUCCAGAAUCUUACAUAGCGGAGUUAUUUCCCACAGACCCCCGAUGGCAAUAGCGGAGCCGCAAAUCGUCAUUUUCAAAGUCAUUGUAGCGGCACAAUUUUUUUCAAGCUGUUAUUUUAAGGUCCAAAAGUUACAUAGUGUUGCUUUAAGGUCCACUAAAUCGGCUUCAUCCGUGAGUUAUACCCAGUUACCAUUUAUAUUAACAUGUUUACGUUAAUAUGUCUUUGUUUUGAAUACAGUUUUGGUUAUUAUUAGUUAAUGGUCAAACACUUAAUGAUGUACAAUUGUAUUUACAAAAGCAUAUGAUUUGUGCUCUUUUUCAGUUUUACAAAUUAUUACAUUUUCCUGCAUUAAAUCUGACAAAUACAACAACUGUCUGUUCCUUGGAGAAUUCGGUGCUGGAUAAUGUAUUGUCAAGCUGGCUGUUUAGCUGAAGAACACGUUUAAACAACAACCUUUAGCGAGAACAGUACAAUGUAUUAGCUGAUUAGCGGAUUAGCUCCGCUCGGCCGACCACCUGCGCCCUUGACCCCGUCCCGUCUCCCAUUCUUCAGGCUAUUGCUCCUGACCUUCUGACCUUUCUCACCCAUCUUAUUAACAGCUCCCUCUCAACUGGCUGUUUCCCUAACUCUCUGAAGGAGGCGAGAGUCAACCCUCUCCUGAAGAAACCCACGCUCGACCCAUCUGAAUAACAGCCUUCUUGACCCUCACCAUUCUGGAUUCAAGGCCGGACACUCAACAGAGACUGCCCUCCUUGCUGUCUCCGAGCAGCUUAACACUGCUAGAGCAGCCUCUCUCUCCUCUGUCCUUAUCCUUCUAGACCUUUCUGCAGCAUUUGACACCGUGAACCACCAGAUCCUUAUCUCUUCUCUUCAGGACCUGGGGAUCUCAGGCACUGCACUCGCUCUUUUCUCUUCCUACCUUAACGACCGCACUUACCGGGUAACUUGGAAAGGAUCUGUGUCUGAUCCUUGUCCUCUCACUACUGGGGUUCCUCAAGGCUCCGUCCUGGGUCCCCUGCUCUUCUCUCUGUACACAAAUUCUCUCGGCUCUGUCAUUCGUUCGCAUGGCUUCUCCUACCAUAGCUAUGCCGAUGACACCCAACUGAUCCUCUCGUUUCCACCGUCCGAAACACAGGUGGCGGCGCGAAUCUCUGCCUGUCUGACCGACAUCUCUCAGUGGAUGUCUGCACACCACCUGAAAAUCAACCCUGACAAGACCGAGCUACUAUUCCUUCCAGGGAAAGGCUCCCCCACCCAUGACCUGACUACCACCUUCAACAGCUCCGUGUUGGCCCCUACCCUGACUGCCAGGAACCUCGGGGUGACACUCGACAGUCAACUCUCCCUGACGGCCAACAUCGCUGCGACGACGCGUUCCUGUAGGUACAUGCUGCACAACAUCAGGAGAAUACGGCCUCUUCUUACUCAGAAGGCGGCGCAGGUUCUGAUCCAGGCUCUGGUCAUUUCACGCCUUGACUACUGCAACUCCCUCCUGGCUGGUCUACCUGCUAAGGCCAUCCGACCCCUGCAGCUCAUCCAGAAUGCAGCAGCUCGACUGGUCUUCAGUCUCCCGAAAUUCACCCACACCACUCCGCUCCUCCGCUCUCUCCACUGGUUACCGGUGGCUGCUCGCAUCCGCUUCAAAACAUUGGUUCUGGCGUACCGCGCUCUGAACGGAUCGGGCCCCGCGUCUACAUUCGGGAUAUGGUCACACCGUACACCCCGGCACGUUCGCUCCGCUCGGCAACAGCGUAAUCGACUUGUGCCUCCUGCACCUCGAGCUAAUCACUCGAAAUCCAGACUGUUUUCUGUCCUGGCUCCUCAGUGGUGGAACGAGCUCCCCACUGACAUCAGGACAGCAGGAAGUCUCUACAUCUUCCGCCGGAGACUAAAAACACAUCUUUUCCGACUAUAUCUGGAUUAAAACACAGAUUUGCACUUCAGUGGCACUUAAAUAGCACUUACUUAUGGUACUUUUGUAGUUCGACUAUGUUAUGAAAUGUUACUUCCUGUAUUCUUGUUGUUCUUAGUUUAUACUCUAGGUUGAAAUGCACUUAUUGUAAGUCGCUUUGGAUAAAAGCUUCUGCUAAAUGACAUGUAAUGUAAUGUAAUGUACAUAUUUCACCAUUGAGACGAGAGUUUUGGGACACAAACAUGAGCUUUGAGUUGAGAGGCAUUGUAAAGAAUUGACUCUGCCAAUGGUUGAUGCUGGUUUUGAUGUUGGUGGUUACUUUUUAGUUUGAGCUGAUUUAACAAACAACGUUUCUCUCCGGCUAUCUGGCAGUGUUUGACAAUAUUUUGACAAUAAUCGGUUGAUUGUCUGAUGCUAUUGUGAAAUGUGAUUAUGAGAAAUCACAAAGCAGGGUUUGAUUGAGUCUUAAUAUUAUGGUUUAGUUAAACCUCCUGACAUUAACACAUGUCUGUAAAUUGCAAAACAUCACACAUUGAUAAUUUAAAUUCUUAAAAUAUUUUGUAUUCUUGUCAUUGUAAAGUUUCUGACAGUAAUUGUAUGAACAACAAACAGCCGCACAGAAUACUGGUAUUCACAAAAUAUAUGAAUACAUUUUAUAUUAAUAAAAAAAGAUUUGACAUGUUUUAUGAAAAUGAAGUUCCCCCAGAACUAAAACGUAAUUUGAAAUUACAUUUACCUGAAAGGUAUUUCUCCCCCGAUUACGUUUGUAUUUGACAUCUUACAAAUACGUUUCUAAUCAACAUAUAUUUGCCGUUUGUUGUCUUGCUUUUCUACAAUGCGUUUAUUAAUUAAAAAAAGGGUACUCAAUUA
This is a long non-coding RNA of Pseudoliparis swirei, 3307 nucleotides long. RefSeq lists it as uncharacterized. The record is from RefSeq and is a predicted model, not a curated record. Lineage: Eukaryota; Metazoa; Chordata; Actinopteri; Perciformes; Liparidae. The transcript is spliced from 2 exons.